GAUGAACGCUAGCGGCAGGCUUAACACAUGCAAGUCGAGGGGUAUAAGUCUUCGGAUUUAGAGACCGGCGCACGGGUGCGUAACGCGUAUGCAAUCUGCCUUUCACAGAGGGAUAGCCCAGAGAAAUUUGGAUUAAUACCUCAUAGUAUUAUAGGAUGGCAUCAUUUUAUAAUUAAAGUCACAACGGUGAAAGAUGAGCAUGCGUCCCAUUAGCUAGUUGGUAAGGUAACGGCUUACCAAGGCAACGAUGGGUAGGGUCCUGAGAGGGAGAUCCCCCACACUGGUACUGAGACACGGACCAGACUCCUACGGGAGGCAGCAGUGAGGAAUAUUGGUCAAUGGGCGCAAGCCUGAACCAGCCAUGCCGCGUGCAGGAUGACGGUCC
RNAcentral lists this ribosomal RNA (385 nucleotides) under uncultured bacterium. RNAcentral describes it as "bacterial SSU rRNA". It matches the Rfam family "Bacterial small subunit ribosomal RNA", at positions 28 to 417 of the family's 1533-position model. The record is from RNAcentral.